AAGCCAGACUCCUACGGGAGGCAGCAGUGGGGAAUAUUGCACAAUGGGGGAAACCCUGAUGCAGCAACGCCGCGUGAGUGAAGAAGUAUUUCGGUAUGUAAAGCUCUAUCAGCAGGGAAGAAGAAGGACGGUACCUGACUAAGAAGCCCCGGCUAACUACGUGCCAGCAGCCGCGGUAAUACGUAGGGGGCGAGCGUUAUCCGGAUUUACUGGGUGUAAAGGGAGCGUAGACGGUUAAUCAAGUCUGAAGUGAAAGCCCGCGGCUCAACUGCGGAACGGCUUUGGAAACUGAGUGACUGGAGUGCUGGAGGGGCAGGCGGAAUUCCUGGUGUAGCGGUGAAAUGCGUAGAUAUCAGGAGGAACACCGGUGGCGAAGGCGGCUUACUGGACGAUGACUGACGCUGAGGCUCGAAAGCGUGGGGAGCAAACAGGAUUAGAUACCCGAGUA
RNAcentral lists this ribosomal RNA (448 nucleotides) under uncultured bacterium. Its description in RNAcentral is "bacterial SSU rRNA". It matches the Rfam family "Bacterial small subunit ribosomal RNA", at positions 328 to 792 of the family's 1533-position model. The record is from RNAcentral.